CCUACGGGCGGCAGCAGUGAGGAAUAUUGGUCAAUGGGCGAGAGCCUGAACCAGCCAAGUCGCGUGAGGGAAGACGGUCCUAUGGAUUGUAAACCUCUUUUGUCGGGGAGCAAAAAGGCCUCGUGAGGCCACAAGUGAGAGUACCCGAAGAAAAAGCAUCGGCUAACUCCGUGCCAGCAGCCGCGGUAAUACGGGGGAUGCGAUCGUUAUCCGGAGUUAUGGGGUUAAAAGGGUGCGUAGGCGGACUGGAAGGUCAGCGGUAAAAGCGAGAGGUUCAACCUCUUUCCGCCGUUGAAACUGUCGGUCGUGAGUGGGCGAGAAGUAUGCGGAAUGCGUGGUGUAGCGGUGAAAUGCAUAGAUAUCACGCAGAACUCCGAUUGCGAAGGCAGCAUACCGGCGCCCGACUGACGCUGAGGCACGAAAGCGUGGGUAUCGAACAGGAUUAGAUACCCUUGUAGUC
This 460-nucleotide ribosomal RNA is filed under the name uncultured bacterium. Its description in RNAcentral is "partial 16S ribosomal RNA". It matches the Rfam family "Bacterial small subunit ribosomal RNA", at positions 338 to 795 of the family's 1533-position model. The record is from RNAcentral.